UGUAUCAGCAACAAUGCUCUUCUUAUUUAAUUUUCCAAGCUUCAUUCUUUACUCUUAUGCUUUGGAGCUCCCUCAAAACGCUUGAAAAUAUGCAAAAAACAUACAAUUUAGUGCAGAGCAAUGAGAUUUACAAAAGUUAAUGAAUUUGAUGAUUAUGCAUGUAAUUACCUAUCUAAAUGCUAUAAAAUGCUGUACAAAUGUGCUGAAAAACAUCUAUAUAAUACAAGUGUAUAGUAAACUUAUAUAUUUGGCAGGCUGAAUUAUUUAGAUUAUACGCGCGCGCACACGCACACUCAUAAUUUAGGCUAUGGCGCUUCCCUUGAAAAAAGUCCUUGCUUCGCCUCUUGCCUAAAGCCAUUGGAUACCUUGUCGCCUUUCGCCUUAACAACACUGAUCUUAAUUAUUAACAAUUCUGAUAAGCCUAAUUAUUUUUUUUUUGGUUGCAAAUUUUCAUUUGUAA
RNAcentral lists this unclassified non-coding RNA (460 nucleotides) under Hevea brasiliensis (rubber tree). The record is from RNAcentral. Lineage: Eukaryota; Viridiplantae; Streptophyta; Magnoliopsida; Malpighiales; Euphorbiaceae.